CCGUGCUAGAUGGGGAGUCAGCGGUGCCCUGUAACUUGCAAUCCGCUUUAGCAAGAUUGAUGUUAAUGGACGGCUUUUGCUGAAUUGAUAGGAAAAAUCAAGUGGUAAUGAAGUUUCAAUCUAUUGCAAUGGUCCGGUUAUAAACUCCGUCAGGCCCGGAAGGGAGCAGCGGUAAGUAAUUCUAAUCAUGUGCUGAUAGAACCUGAGAUGGAGCAAACUAAUUUUCACCUUUCUUUGACCAGAGAAGUCAACUAUUAAUGCGCGG
RNAcentral lists this signal recognition particle RNA (265 nucleotides) under Fidelibacterota bacterium. RNAcentral describes it as "signal recognition particle sRNA large type". It matches the Rfam family "Bacterial large signal recognition particle RNA". Rfam says of the family: The signal recognition particle (SRP) is a universally conserved ribonucleoprotein involved in the co-translational targeting of proteins to membranes. The record is from RNAcentral. Lineage: Bacteria; Pseudomonadati; Fidelibacterota.